GGUGGUUCUCAGGUGAUGCACCCCGGAAUCGGGCUCCCUUCUCUCUGGUUCUGGGUGUGUCACCCGAGAACCACA
Myotis davidii is the source of this 75-nucleotide non-coding RNA. Lineage: Eukaryota; Metazoa; Chordata; Mammalia; Chiroptera; Vespertilionidae. The record is from Rfam.